RNAcentral lists this ribosomal RNA (427 nucleotides) under uncultured bacterium. Its description in RNAcentral is "partial 16S ribosomal RNA". It matches the Rfam family "Bacterial small subunit ribosomal RNA", at positions 355 to 774 of the family's 1533-position model. The record is from RNAcentral.
UGGGGAAUAUUGCACAAUGGGCGCAAGCCUGAUGCAGACAUGCCGCGUGUAUGAAGAAGGCCUUCGGGUUGUAAAGUACUUUCAGCGAGGAGGAAGGCGUUGUGGUUAAUAACCGCAGCGAUUGACGUUACUCGCAGAAGAAGCACCGGCUAACUCCGUGCCAGCAGCCGCGGUAAUACGGAGGGUGCAAGCGUUAAUCGGAAUUACUGGGCGUAAAGCGCACGCAGGCGGUCUGUCAAGUCGGAUGUGAAAUCCCCGGGCUCAACCUGGGAACUGCAUCCGAAACUGGCAGGCUAGAGUCUUGUAGAGGGGGGUAGAAUUCCAGGUGUAGCGGUGAAAUGCGUAGAGAUCUGGAGGAAUACCGGUGGCGAAGGCGGCCCCCUGGACAAAGACUGACGCUCAGGUGCGAAAGCGUGGGGAGCAAACA